GGGGGUAUAGCUCAGCUGGGAGAGCGCUUGCAUGGCAUGCAAGAGGUCAGCGGUUCGAUCCCGCUUACCUAUCCCGCUUACCUCCACCA
This 89-nucleotide transfer RNA is filed under the name Betaproteobacteria bacterium HGW-Betaproteobacteria-8. RNAcentral describes it as "tRNA-Ala". The stretch from base 1 to 73 matches the Rfam family "tRNA". Rfam says of the family: Transfer RNA (tRNA) molecules are approximately 80 nucleotides in length. Their secondary structure includes four short double-helical elements and three loops (D, anti-codon, and T loops). The record is from RNAcentral. Lineage: Bacteria; Pseudomonadati; Pseudomonadota; Betaproteobacteria.